Molecule: ribosomal RNA, 1375 nt
Filed under: uncultured bacterium
Lineage: Bacteria
Description: bacterial SSU rRNA
Rfam family: Bacterial small subunit ribosomal RNA
Source: RNAcentral
AUUGAACGCUGGCGGCAGGCCUAACACAUGCAAGUCGAGCGGAAACGAGUUAUCUGAACCUUCGGGGAACGAUAACGGCGUCGAGCGGCGGACGGGUGAGUAAUGCCUAGGAAAUUGCCCUGAUGUGGGGGAUAACCAUUGGAAACGAUGGCUAAUACCGCAUGAUGCCUACGGGCCAAAGAGGGGGACCUUCGGGCCUCUCGCGUCAGGAUAUGCCUAGGUGGGAUUAGCUAGUUGGUGAGGUAAGGGCUCACCAAGGCGACGAUCCCUAGCUGGUCUGAGAGGAUGAUCAGCCACACUGGAACUGAGACACGGUCCAGACUCCUACGGGAGGCAGCAGUGGGGAAUAUUGCACAAUGGGCGCAAGCCUGAUGCAGCCAUGCCGCGUGUGUGAAGAAGGCCUUCGGGUUGUAAAGCACUUUCAGUCGUGAGGAAGGUAGUGUAGUUAAUAGCUGCAUUAUUUGACGUUAGCGACAGAAGAAGCACCGGCUAACUCCGUGCCAGCAGCCGCGGUAAUACGGAGGGUGCGAGCGUUAAUCGGAAUUACUGGGCGUAAAGCGCAUGCAGGUGGUUGUUAAAGUCAGAUGUGAAAGCCCGGGGCUCAACCUCGGAAUAGCAUUUGAAACUGGCAGACUAGAGUACUGUAGAGGGGGGUAGAAUUUCAGGUGUAGCGGUGAAAUGCGUAGAGAUCUGAAGGAAUACCGGUGGCGAAGGCGGCCCCCUGGACAGAUACUGACACUCAGAUGCGAAAGCGUGGGGAGCAAACAGGAUUAGAUACCCUGGUAGUCCACGCCGUAAACGAUGUCUACUUGGAGGUUGUGGCCUUGAGCCGUGGCUUUCGGAGCUAACGCGUUAAGUAGACCGCCUGGGGAGUACGGUCGCAAGAUUAAAACUCAAAUGAAUUGACGGGGGCCCGCACAAGCGGUGGAGCAUGUGGUUUAAUUCGAUGCAACGCGAAGAACCUUACCUACUCUUGACAUCCAGAGAACUUUCCAGAGAUGGAUUGGUGCCUUCGGGAACUCUGAGACAGGUGCUGCAUGGCUGUCGUCAGCUCGUGUUGUGAAAUGUUGGGUUAAGUCCCGCAACGAGCGCAACCCUUAUCCUUGUUUGCCAGCGAGUAAUGUCGGGAACUCCAGGGAGACUGCCGGUGAUAAACCGGAGGAAGGUGGGGACGACGUCAAGUCAUCAUGGCCCUUACGAGUAGGGCUACACACGUGCUACAAUGGCGCAUACAGAGGGCGGCCAACUUGCGAAGGUGAGCGAAUCCCAAAAAGUGCGUCGUAGUCCGGAUUGGAGUCUGCAACUCGACUCCAUGAAGUCGGAAUCGCUAGUAAUCGUGGAUCAGAAAUGCCACGGUGAAUACGUUCCCGGGCCU